Drosophila suzukii is the source of this 491-nucleotide non-coding RNA. The record is from RefSeq and is a predicted model, not a curated record. NCBI's taxonomy places the organism in Eukaryota, Metazoa, Arthropoda, Insecta, Diptera, Drosophilidae.
UCUCCUGUCCUCAAUAGAUGACUUCCAGCGGAGUAGGCGACGUCAACAUACCCAGCUGGGCAUCCUCAGACAAAUUUAUAGCAGUUUAACAGAACAGCAAGUUACAGUGUCCAAGAAAUACCAACGAUUUGCAAAAUAGAAUAAACACCGCAAAAUGUUAUACUUAUUUAAAAAAAUUUGGUCGGUUGUCCGAGUGACCUCGACAACUCAGUCAAAAACAAGAAUGAACGCUAUAGUCGACGGCCUCGAAUAUUACAUACCCGUUACUCAACUAAAGGAAGUGGAAGGGAGAAGGAGAUAUGCAGCAUUUCGGCUGUUUCCGAGAUUAAACACUUUGUUUGCCAAAACCCAUCUUUCUAGCUUUUAUAGUUCCCGAGAUCUCGGCGCUCAUACGAACGGUCAGGCAGAACCUAUAAAAAAUUGAAGUUUUCUUAUUUAAUUAGAUAUAACCGGAUAUACAUACAUAAAUAUACACAGAGUUAUACAAGUUG